This 230-nucleotide ribosomal RNA is filed under the name uncultured bacterium. RNAcentral describes it as "partial 16S ribosomal RNA". It matches the Rfam family "Bacterial small subunit ribosomal RNA", at positions 524 to 752 of the family's 1533-position model. The record is from RNAcentral.
UACGUAGGAGACAAACGUUAUCCGGAGUUACUGGGCGUAAAGGGCGUGUAGGUGGUAAUGUAAGUCUGGCGUGAAAUUUUUCGGCUUAACCGGGAAAGGUCGUCGGAUACUGCAUCACUAGAGGACGGUAGAGGCGUGUGGAAUUCCGGGUGUAGUGGUGAAAUGCGUAGAGAUCCGGAGGAACACCAGUGGCGAAGGCGGCUCACUGGUCCGGUACUGACGGCUGAGGU